GCAGCUCCGAGAUCCGCCCUGAGGACCCGCCUCGAGUCCGAGGACCGCCCCCAGCCCGCCCCAAGACCAGCCCUGAGCCCGAGGACCCGCCCCGAUUAGCUAAGAGGACCAGCUCUCGGCGCGCCCUGAGCCCAGCGAUCCUCCCCAGGCCCACGGAUCCUCCAAAAGCCCACCCGGAAGAUCCGCCCCCGACCCGCUACCACCUCUAGGAUCUGCCCUCGAGGACUCACAGCAGAGUGCAGGUACGGUUCCCUCCACGCCUCCAGGAACCGCCUAUCGACCCGCCCACAGACCGCACGCCCCUAACCUGCGGGCCAGUCCCCCGCGCCGAGAGGUGAGCGUGCAGCAAGAGGUGCCAUCUUUGGAGAAAGCAGACCCUCACCCGAUACUGAAUCUGCAGUAAAUUGAUCUUGGACUUUAUUUUUAUUUUUUUACUUGUUUUUUGCAGUGUUGGACAAUGGAGCCCAGGGUCUCCCAUAUGAUAGGGAAAUGCUCUACCACUAAAUUAUAUCCCCUGCUAAAUAUAUUUCUAUUAUUUACAAACUA
Long non-coding RNA from Ictidomys tridecemlineatus (thirteen-lined ground squirrel), 546 nucleotides. RefSeq lists it as uncharacterized. NCBI's taxonomy places the organism in Eukaryota, Metazoa, Chordata, Mammalia, Rodentia, Sciuridae. The record is from RefSeq and is a predicted model, not a curated record.